GCCGCUUUAGCUCAGUUGGUAGAGCACAUCAUUCGUAAUGAUGGGGUCGCGUGUUCGAGUCACGCAAGCGGCACCA
Molecule: transfer RNA, 76 nt
Filed under: Brucella abortus
Lineage: Bacteria; Pseudomonadati; Pseudomonadota; Alphaproteobacteria; Hyphomicrobiales; Brucellaceae
Also listed under: 813 other names
Description: tRNA-Thr (CGT) (tRNA-Thr-CGT-1-1)
Rfam family: tRNA
About the family: Transfer RNA (tRNA) molecules are approximately 80 nucleotides in length.
Source: RNAcentral